This 200-nucleotide unclassified non-coding RNA is filed under the name Trechispora sp. RNAcentral describes it as "partial internal transcribed spacer 2". Lineage: Eukaryota; Fungi; Basidiomycota; Agaricomycetes; Trechisporales; Hydnodontaceae. The record is from RNAcentral.
UUAAGUUCAGCGGGUAGUCCUACCUGAUUUGAGGUCAGAAUUUCAAAGUACAUUGACCGCCGCUCCACAGGCAAGGUCGUGGGAGGACGCCAGAAGGGGAACUUCUCGGUCGAGCGAGGAUGAUACAACGCCCAGUCGAGUUCGACCCACAGGUCCAACCGAUGCAUUUGAGGGGAGCCGCCUCGCGGCAGCAAGCCCCC